GUGUACCGGAAGGUGUACCUGGAAAGUUCAAUUCAGAGCUUGAUAAGUUAAGCAUCUCAUUUACACUGAGAAGUCACUGUGCAAUUCAGUUUGAUUUGAUAAAGAAAAAUUUACGUUGGUUGUUUGAAAAUGUUAGUUUUUGUUAAUAAAAUCAUUUUUUAGGUAAUAAGUUUUUGUAUAGGUUAUAGAUAAAAUUUUUUUAGUGAUAGUUUAAUUGUAUUGUGAAAGAUUAUUGAAAUAUUUGAAAAUUUAUUUUUUUAAAAGUAGGUUUAAAUUACCGUACCUUGUGUAUCAGGGUUCAUCUCAAAGUUUAUAAUUAUUUAUAUGUCCCGAUUUGAAGAGAGCUAAGUAUUUUUGUUAGUUAAUGUAGAAUAAUUAUUAAUUAAAAGUAUUUAGUAAUGAAACGUUAUCCGUUCUUUAAGAUAUCUGGUUUUUCAAGAAAUGAAUUUAAUUCAGUUAUUUAAUUUUAUUGGGUUGAUUGAUUAGUUUGAUAUGAUUAAAUAAAAAUAUUUGGGGGGAUAAGCUUCUGAAUAUGAAUUUAUAAAGUUAAAUUUUAAUUAAGAUUUUGUAGGCUUAGAAUUAGCCAUCAAUUAGAGGAUGUUAUAAUUUAUUUUUGAUUAAAUAUCAUUUUGUAAUGUAUUUAAAUUUUUUAUUGAAAUGUGACUUUUAAUUAUUUAAGGUCAGUAGUAAUGAUGAAAUUAGUAUAAUAAGUUGUUGAUUUUAAUUAAACCGUUAGGUUACAUUAAGGAAUUCGGCAAAUUAAUGCUCGCCUGUUUAACAAAAACAUGUCCUCAUGAAAAUAAUUUGAGGUCUGACCUGCCCACUGAAUUGAAGAAUUUGAAGGGCCGCGGUAUUUUGACCGUGCAAAGGUAGCAUAAUCAUUAGUCUUUUAAUUGAAGGCUGGAAUGAAUGGUUGGACGAGGUAUUGACUGUCUCAAUGUAAUUGUUAUUAGAAUUUAACUUUUAGGUCAAAAGGCUUAAAUGCGUUUAAG
This 992-nucleotide ribosomal RNA is filed under the name Isoperla rivulorum. Its description in RNAcentral is "partial large subunit ribosomal RNA". The record is from RNAcentral. Lineage: Eukaryota; Metazoa; Arthropoda; Insecta; Plecoptera; Perlodidae.